RNAcentral lists this ribosomal RNA (505 nucleotides) under uncultured Sphingobacteriales bacterium. Its description in RNAcentral is "bacterial SSU rRNA". It matches the Rfam family "Bacterial small subunit ribosomal RNA", at positions 903 to 1382 of the family's 1533-position model. The record is from RNAcentral. Lineage: Bacteria; Pseudomonadati; Bacteroidota; Sphingobacteriia; Sphingobacteriales.
CGCCUUGCCAGCCCGCUCAGAAACUCAAAGGAAUUGACGGGGGCCCGCACAAGCGGAGGAGCAUGUGGUUUAAUUCGAUGAUACGCGAGGAACCUUACCUGGGCUCGAACGUAAGAUGACUGUAGGUGAAAGCUUACAUCUCUUCGGAGCAUUUUACGAGGUGCUGCAUGGUUGUCGUCAGCUCGUGCCGUGAGGUGUCGGGUUAAGUCCCAUAACGAGCGCAACCCUUACCGUUAGUUACCAUCAGGUUAAGCUGGGGACUCUAGCGGGACUGCCACCGUAAGGUGAGAGGAAGGUGGGGAUGACGUCAAAUCAGCACGGCCCUUAUGUCCAGGGCUACACACGUGUUACAAUGGCCGGUACAAAGGGCAGCUACUUCGCGAGAAGAUGCUAAUCUCGAAAGCCGGUCUCAGUUCGGAUCGAAGUCUGCAACCCGACUUCGUGAAGCUGGAUUCGCUAGUAAUCGCGCAUCAGCCAUGGCGCGGUGAAUACGUUCCCGGGCCUU